GACGAACGCUGGCGGCGUGCUUAACACAUGCAAGUCGAACGGAAAGGCCCUGCUUUUGUGGGGUGCUCGAGUGGCGAACGGGUGAGUAACACGUGAGUAACCUGCCCUUGACUUUGGGAUAACUUCAGGAAACUGGGGCUAAUACCGGAUAGGAGCUCCUGCUGCAUGGUGGGGGUUGGAAAGUUUCGGCGGUUGGGGAUGGACUCGCGGCUUAUCAGCUUGUUGGUGGGGUAGUGGCUUACCAAGGCUUUGACGGGUAGCCGGCCUGAGAGGGUGACCGGCCACAUGGGGACUAAGAUACGGCCCAGACUCCUACGGGAGGCAGCAGUGGGGAAUAUUGCACGAUGGGCGGAAGCCUGAUGCAGCAACGCCGCGUGCGGGAUGACGGCCUUCGGGUUGUAAACCGCUUUCGCCUGUGACGAAGCGUGAGUGACGGUAAUGGGUAAAGAAGCACCGGCUAACUACGUG
Molecule: ribosomal RNA, 468 nt
Filed under: uncultured bacterium
Lineage: Bacteria
Description: partial 16S ribosomal RNA
Rfam family: Bacterial small subunit ribosomal RNA
Source: RNAcentral